This 254-nucleotide ribosomal RNA is filed under the name uncultured bacterium. RNAcentral's name for it is "partial 16S ribosomal RNA". It matches the Rfam family "Bacterial small subunit ribosomal RNA", at positions 524 to 776 of the family's 1533-position model. The record is from RNAcentral.
UACGUAGGACCCAAGCGUUAUCCGGAAUUACUGGGCGUAAAGAGUUGCGUAGGUGGCAGAGUAAGCGAGGUGUGAAAUUGUGUGGCUCAACCAUACACCCAUAUCUUGAACUGCUCAGCUAGAGGACGAGAGAGGUAGAUGGAAUUCCCAGUGUAGGAGUGAAAUCCGUAGAUAUUGGGAGGAACACCGAUGGCGUAGGCAGUCUACUGGCUCGUUCCUGACACUAAGGCACGAAAGCGUGGGGAGCAAACGGG